Molecule: ribosomal RNA, 253 nt
Filed under: uncultured bacterium
Lineage: Bacteria
Description: partial 16S ribosomal RNA
Rfam family: Bacterial small subunit ribosomal RNA
Source: RNAcentral
UACGUAGGGACCAAGCGUUGUUCGGAUUUAUUGGGCGUAAAGGGUGCGUAGGCGGCGCGGUAAGUCGGGUGUGAAAUCUCGGAGCUUAACUCCGAAACUGCAUUCGAUACUGCCGUGCUUGAGGACUGGAGAGGAGACUGGAAUUUACGGUGUAGCGGUGAAAUGCGUAGAUAUCGUAAGGAAGACCAGUGGCGAAGGCGGGUCUCUGGACAGUUCCUGACGCUGAGGCACGAAGGUCAGGGGAGCAAACGGG